UCGAGAUUUGCUGAGACGUUUGGUUCCCCAGUGCCUAUGCCAGUAGUUUUAUUCGGUGCGCGCUUGUUCAGCUGCCUUGCCGUGGCUCUGCCUGCAGAGCGGGAGCACUAAAACCAACCGCACACUCUGACGUACGAUCACGUGUUGGGCCACCAUUGGCCCACCAGGUUUGGCUUCAAUUGCGUUGCGGUCUCUUCCCACGUCGGCUCGCAGGGAGUCCGGGUACAGCCUCCUCGCGAGAACCUGCCGAGGAAAAUAUGGCGGCCUGCUGUUUAGCGCUCUCGCGGGAGACUCGCUUGCGAGACGCAGACCUCUGCCCUCCACGACGCCCUCAGGGGUCUUUUAAUUCAACGUGCAUUCGCUCCUUGUUCAUUGAAGCUGGCACAGGCUGAAACUGAACUGAAGGGGUCUGCCGGGCCGACGAGCUCCUUGAGGUGCAGAGCCGAGUUCUGGGAAUCCGACGAGCUCCUGACUUCCAUGGCUAGACAUGGACCACUGCACAGUUGUUGCACCAUGGUCUGCGGCG
This is a long non-coding RNA of Dermacentor albipictus, 526 nucleotides long. RefSeq lists it as uncharacterized. Lineage: Eukaryota; Metazoa; Arthropoda; Arachnida; Ixodida; Ixodidae. The record is from RefSeq and is a predicted model, not a curated record.